GAUCAUGGCUCAGGAUUAACGCUGGCGGCAUGCCUAAUACAUGCAAGUCAAACGGGAUUAUAGCUUGCUAUAAUCUAGUGGCGAACGGGUGAGUAACACGUGGGCAACCUGUCCUAAAGACGAGGAUAACAGUUGGAAACGACUGCUAAUACUGGAUAGUAUAUUUAGUCGCAUGACUUUAUAUUUAAAGAUGCGUUUGCAUCACUUUAGGAGGGGCCCGCGGCGCAUUAGCUAGUUGGUGGGGUAACGGCUCACCAAGGCGACGAUACAUAGGGGGACUGAGAGGUUAACCCCCCACAUUGGUACUGAGACACGGACCAAACUCCUACGGGAGGCAGCAGUGAGGAAUAUUGGUCAAUGGGCGCAAGCCUGAACCAGCCAUGCCGCGUGCAGGAAGACGGCUCUAUGAGUUGUAAACUGCUUUGUAUGAGGGUAAAAUUGGGUACGUGUACCCAACUGCAAGUAUCAUACGAAUAAGGAUCGGCUAACUCCGUG
Molecule: ribosomal RNA, 495 nt
Filed under: uncultured bacterium
Lineage: Bacteria
Description: bacterial SSU rRNA
Rfam family: Bacterial small subunit ribosomal RNA
Source: RNAcentral